This 497-nucleotide ribosomal RNA is filed under the name uncultured bacterium. Its description in RNAcentral is "partial 16S ribosomal RNA". It matches the Rfam family "Bacterial small subunit ribosomal RNA", at positions 28 to 507 of the family's 1533-position model. The record is from RNAcentral.
GAUGAACGCUGGCGGCGUGCCUAAUACAUGCAAGUCGAGCGAACAGACGAGGAGCUUGCUCCUCUGACGUUAGCGGCGGACGGGUGAGUAACACGUGGAUAACCUACCUAUAAGACUGGGAUAACUUCGGGAAACCGGAGCUAAUACCGGAUAAUAUAUUGAACCGCAUGGUUCAAUAGUGAAAGACGGUUUUGCUGUCACUUAUAGAUGGAUCCGCGCCGUAUUAGCUAGUUGGUAAGGUAACGGCUUACCAAGGCAACGAUGCGUAGCCGACCUGAGAGGGUGAUCGGCCACACUGGAACGGAGACACGGUCCAGACUCCUACGGGAGGCAGCAGUAGGGAAUCGUCCGCAAUGGGCGAAAGCCUGACGGAGCAACGCCGCGUGAGUGAUGAAGGUCUUCGGAUCGUAAAACUCUGUUAUUAGGGAAGAACAAAUGUGUAAGUAACUAUGCACGUCUUGACGGUACCUAAUCAGAAAGCCACGGCUAACUACGUG